RNAcentral lists this non-coding RNA (54 nucleotides) under Trypanosoma lewisi. The record is from RNAcentral. Lineage: Eukaryota; Euglenozoa; Kinetoplastea; Trypanosomatida; Trypanosomatidae.
AUAAUAAACAAUAUACAAAAGAACGAGACGUAUAUCUAUAUAUAAGAAAUUAAA